RNAcentral lists this unclassified non-coding RNA (253 nucleotides) under uncultured Chitinophagales bacterium. RNAcentral's name for it is "contains 16S-23S intergenic spacer region". It matches the Rfam family "Bacterial small subunit ribosomal RNA", at positions 524 to 776 of the family's 1533-position model. The record is from RNAcentral. Lineage: Bacteria; Pseudomonadati; Bacteroidota; Chitinophagia; Chitinophagales.
UACGGAGGGUGCAAGCGUUAUCCGGAUUUACUGGGUUUAAAGGGUGCGCAGGCGGGUCUUCAAGUCAGAGGUGAAAGCCCGGAGCUCAACUCCGGAAUUGCCUUUGAUACUGUUGACCUUGAGUACGGUUGAGGUAGGCGGAAUACAGCAUGUAGCGGUGAAAUGCAUAGAUAUGCUGUAGAACACCAAUUGCGAAGGCAGCUUACUAAGCCGUUACUGACGCUCAGGCACGAAAGCGUGGGGAGCGAACAGG